GGGGUAGAAUUCCAGGUGUAGCGGUGAAAUGCGUAGAGAUCUGGAGGAAUACCGGUGGCGAAGGCGGCCCCCUGGACGAAGACUGACGCUCAGGUGCGAAAGCGUGGGGAGCAAACAGGAUUAGAUACCCUGGUAGUCCACGCCGUAAACGAUGUCGACUUGGAGGUUGUGCCCUUGAGGCGUGGCUUCCGGAGCUAACGCGUUAAGUCGACCGCCUGGGGAGUACGGCCGCAAGGUUAAAACUCAAAUGAAUUGACGGGGGCCCGCACAAGCGGUGGAGCAUGUGGUUUAAUUCGAUGCAACGCGAAGAACCUUACCUGGUCUUGACAUCCACGGAAGUUUUCAGAGAUGAGAAUGUGCCUUCGGGAACCGUGAGACAGGUGCUGCAUGGCUGUCGUCAGCUCGUGUUGUGAAAUGUUGGGUUAAGUCCCGCAACGAGCGCAACCC
Molecule: ribosomal RNA, 447 nt
Filed under: Escherichia coli
Lineage: Bacteria; Pseudomonadati; Pseudomonadota; Gammaproteobacteria; Enterobacterales; Enterobacteriaceae
Description: bacterial SSU rRNA
Rfam family: Bacterial small subunit ribosomal RNA
Source: RNAcentral